GUAAAAUUGAUGUCUUUAACAAUAUCAAGUCACACAAUCCAUGAACCCUGUGUAUUUUUUCCAUUUAUUUAGACCUUUGGUUUCUCACAAAUUGAAAAUAUUUAAUAGCCAAAUACAGAGUUGUUUCUUUACAUUCUUGAGACACUUUUGGUUCUUUCCAUUUUAAUAUUUACCCCCACUUCUAACCUUGAAGUGUAUCAGAGUACUCUACCUCAAUUCAAAGAGAAAGACACAUAUGUUAGGGUGGGGAAAAACUGGAUACUUCAAAAGUAUAAAAUUAUAUUAUCAACUUCCACAGGUCAUUCUUCUCCAUAUGGAUGUAGGCAAGAGAAAAACCUUUUGUCCCCAACAUCUAGUGAGAAAUGAGAAAAAGAAGCACGACACAAGAACAAAGAUCUCCAUAACUCUUCCUAAUAAGACUGACUUUGGAACAGAGUUUGGGGAAAGCUAAGCCUCAAACCCCUGUUAAAAGCAGUACAGAUUUUGAUAGACAUCAAUUAAGGGGAGGCCAGUGGCUUCACAAAAAAAAAAAAAAAAAAAACCAGGGAAAACAGUCAUCUAAUUAGAAGUUUAACAGAGAGCAGUAGGGAAAAAGAUAGGUAAGAAAUCCCUCAGAGGAUUUGCUUCAUAAAACUUAUGCAGAAAUAUUCAUAGUAACAUUAUGUAUAAUGGCCAAAACAAUAGAAAUAACCCAAGUGUCCAACAACUGAUAUAUGGACAAAUAAAUAUGAUAUAUGCAUAUCAUGGAUUUUAUUUGACAAUGAAACAGUGAAGUAUCGAUACAAACUACAAAAGAUACUUGGAUGAACCUGAGAAAAUUUAUGCUAAGUGAAAGAAAUAAUAACAAAAGCCAUAUCUGCUGAAAUUCCACUUAUAUGAAUGUCCAAACUAAGCAAAUCUAUAGAGACAGAAAGUCAAGUUGGUUACUGUCUUCUUCAGGGAAGGUUGUGAGUAGUUGUAAUGGGCAGUGAUUGCUAAUAUAUUUACGGUUUCUUUCUUGUGUGAAGCAUAUUCUAUAAACUUGAUUGUGUUGAUAGUUGCACAAAUCUAUAAAUAUAUUGAAAACAUUAAAAUAUAUACUUUAAUUGGUGAGUUGUGUGUGAAUUAUGUCUUUCUAAGAAACUGCUAAAAAUCCACCAUUAAAAUAGAAAAUGAAGAUUUUAGAAGAAGGAACAAAGUGAUCAAAAAGUUUUGCUAAUAUACGUGUCUUUGGAAAAAAGUUCUCUCAUAAAUCAUGGUACCAAUAAAAUAAUCCUAAUAAAACUAGAGAGGAAAUAUGAUGCUCCAUUGAAGAACGAUUUAGGUAGCUCAUUUUGAUACUUGACUCUAGACCGGCCCUUAAAGUAGAAGGAAAGAUAGGCUUAUAACUUCA
Molecule: long non-coding RNA, 1372 nt
Filed under: Marmota monax (woodchuck)
Lineage: Eukaryota; Metazoa; Chordata; Mammalia; Rodentia; Sciuridae
Source: RNAcentral